Nicotiana attenuata is the source of this 763-nucleotide long non-coding RNA. RefSeq lists it as uncharacterized. The transcript has 4 exons. Lineage: Eukaryota; Viridiplantae; Streptophyta; Magnoliopsida; Solanales; Solanaceae. The record is from RefSeq and is a predicted model, not a curated record.
GCUCCCAUUCAGCAGCAAAUCUUGUUUCCUGCCUCUGCACUUAGCAUUUUAAAGGUGAUACUCCCCUCCGCGCGAAUAACAAAAAAACCCUCAAAAUACACAAACCUCUUCAGAUGCACUGUCGCGUCUUCACACCGAUUCUUUACACUCUGUUUUCUUUCAGUUUCUCUGUACUCCUCAAUCCCUUUCACUUUCUCUGUACUCCUCCAUCUCUUUAAGACCUCUCUCUUCCUUCUUAUUUUUAUGACCUGUUUGAAAAAAUGUUAUACAUGGCACCCGGAAUCAACAACUACUUCUGUUCAAUCAACAGAUGUCGGUGUGGGGACACUAUGAUUGCGAAGACAAAACGUUGUUACAAGAUUGAGGGAUUUUAAAAUGAGCUCAAAAGUGGAGAAUAUGAAUUACUAAAGACAAGAGAAAUGGAUAUUUGGUGCUUUUCAUUUGAGAAAUUUACUGGAAGAUAUGACUUCUCAGAUUAAUGGCACAUGAUGUCUAAGCAGGGGUUGAAUCCGUUGUUCCUAAUGGAGGAUAUUGAUGUAAUGGGCAUUUGAAAUGGCAGCCUCAAACAGACUACAGAAGUUGUUUUCUCUUUCAAGCCUCAUGACUUUAAAGGAUUCUCCUUCCGUUUCUUAAAGCAUUUGCAGGGUGAUGAUAUGCACCUUUUAUGAGUUUGAAAUAGAUUUUUACUUUUUCCCUUGUGCAGGGAGAAAAUAAGGUAUAGAAACAAAGGGAAAUCCUUUUUGCUGCAAGAUUCAUUCAACAA